Molecule: ribosomal RNA, 395 nt
Filed under: uncultured bacterium
Lineage: Bacteria
Description: partial 16S ribosomal RNA
Rfam family: Bacterial small subunit ribosomal RNA
Source: RNAcentral
CUACGUAGGGUGCAAGCGUUAAUCGGAAUUACUGGGCGUAAAGCGUGCGCAGGCGGUUUUGUAAGACAGUGGUGAAAUCCCCGGGCUCAACCUGGGAACUGCCAUUGUGACUGCAAGGCUGGAGUGCGGCAGAGGGGGAUGGAAUUCCGCGUGUAGCAGUGAAAUGCGUAGGUAUGCGGAGGAACACCGAUGGCGAAGGCAAUCCCCUGGGCCUGCACUGACGCUCAUGCACGAAAGCGUGGGGAGCAAACAGGAUUAGAUACCCUGGUAGUCCACGCCCUAAACGAUGUCAACUGGUUGUUGGGGAUUUAUUUUCUCAGUAACGAAGCUAACGCGUGAAGUUGACCGCCUGGGGAGUACGGCCGCAAGGUUAAAACUCAAAGGAAUUGACGGGG